UAGAGAGGUUAUUUGGGCCAAGUUUGAAGAUUGCAACCCGGGAGCAUAGCUUCAAGUUGCCCUGAACAUAGGAUUUGCAACAGUGACAAAGGUGAGGCCAGAGAAGUGACAAGACAGAUGCCAGUCCAGCAGGUGGGCAUGUCCAGAAAGUGCAGCCUCAGGACACGGUCUGGGAACAAAGACUGCUGGAGAGUUGGAAGCUGGCAAGAGGCUCUCAGCUGUGAAGUACCUGGGGUGGGGGAGAAGUGGUCGGAGAAAGCAGAGAACACAAUUGAAGGCACUGGUUAUUCUAGCAAGGCUUUGACUGGAAUGGCAUAUUUUCAGAUAUGACCAGACUGCUCUGAGGAAUUCAGGUUGGCUUUAUAGAGUCAAUAAAAAGCUACCUGGAAAGAGUGGCCAUGUACCUUAUCUAUACAGUUCCCUUACAAGGUUCCUGAUCUUGAGACAUUUGGCUUCACUUGAACCUGUGUUUGAAGCUUUAGUGAACAUUGUCUUUGGGAGUAAGAAGUACUAGAAAAUUUAUGUUCAUCUGCAUCUUGUCACUGGGACAUGAGCAUAGGUGGUCUACCUUCAGUUUGGUCUGUGAACAGGAGGAUUACUUGAGCUCAGGAGUUCUAGUCCAGCCUGGGCAACAGAGCAAGACCCUGUCUCAAAAAGAAAGAAAGAAAUGAGGAUAUGAGUUUGCUGCUCUUUAAAUCGAUGACUUUGCAGCUCUUCAUCUGAAGAGGUGGCGUCUGUUUCUCCUGUUUGAGUGUGGCACAUCCAGGAGAGUGGCUUUGAGCAGUGGUGUGGCAGACGUGACUGUAGGCCAGCCCUGAGCUGAGGCUGCCAGGGGACUGCACACUUCUUCUCUCAGCUCUGCCAGCUGCUGCACUGUGUCUGGGCCAGCCCGCUGGAGCACAGAGUUCAGUGCAUUGGGACAGCUACAGCCCAUUGCAUCGGGACAGCCCACAGCAACAAGACCCACCUGUCGCCACUGCAGGUGCGUGAGGGUGCCCGGCUGAGAGCAGACAAACCGCCUAGCAGGUGGCUUUUCAAGCGGAAUCACAGACUAGCUCCAUCGCUGUGGUGAACGUUCUCCCCAGUGCCAGGAUUCCACUUGGCCCCUGACUGCUUGAGCAGCCGAUGUGACAGCCAUCUCUCUGCUGCCGUGCAUGUCGGCUGGGCUGGAGCCAGUGCAUCAGGAAGUAGACGCAGAAGUGGAUCAGGAGCAAAACAUUCCUGAGAGCUGGCAGAAGCUGGCGUCUGGAGCCGCUGGGAUGCGGGUAUGGGCUCUCUCAGUGGCGGAGGAACAGCCUCCUGGCAGAACCAAAGGUUGCUUUGUGCCUUCGAUGCUGCUGCUGGCCAGAGUGGUUUUCUGUCUCAGACCCUGUACCACGUGUCUGUUCUUUCUCAUUUUUUACUUAAAGGAGAAGAAAAUGAUUAUGUGUA
This 1431-nucleotide long non-coding RNA is filed under the name Homo sapiens (human). RNAcentral describes it as "HSALNT0404433". Lineage: Eukaryota; Metazoa; Chordata; Mammalia; Primates; Hominidae. The record is from RNAcentral.